GGCCCUGUGGCGGAGUGCUACGCGCGGGAUUGCAACUCCCGACACCCUUGGUUCAAAUCCAAGGCAGGGCCUCCA
This 75-nucleotide transfer RNA is filed under the name Devosia sp. RNAcentral describes it as "tRNA-Cys". It matches the Rfam family "tRNA". Rfam says of the family: Transfer RNA (tRNA) molecules are approximately 80 nucleotides in length. Their secondary structure includes four short double-helical elements and three loops (D, anti-codon, and T loops). The record is from RNAcentral. Lineage: Bacteria; Pseudomonadati; Pseudomonadota; Alphaproteobacteria; Hyphomicrobiales; Devosiaceae.